RNAcentral lists this ribosomal RNA (500 nucleotides) under uncultured Myrionecta. Its description in RNAcentral is "SSU rRNA". It matches the Rfam family "Eukaryotic small subunit ribosomal RNA", at positions 34 to 604 of the family's 1831-position model. The record is from RNAcentral. Lineage: Eukaryota; Ciliophora; Litostomatea; Cyclotrichida; Mesodiniidae.
AUAUUGAGAUAGCCAUGCACGUCUAGUACAAACUAGAUGAUGGUGAAACUGCAAUGGCUCAUUACACGGUUAUGAUGUACCCGGGAGUUCCGAUGGAUAUUUCCAGUAACACUAGAACUAAUACAUGUCCCUGCGUUUAUUAGUUUCGCACAGUCCGUCGCUGAGUCAUGGUAAACAGUUGAUCGACUCGACGUCCCGGAACAGUUUCCGCCCCAUCAGCUUCGAUGGUUGGGUAUUGGCCUACCAUUGCAACAACGGGUAACGAGGAAUUAGGGUUUGAUUUCGGAGAGGGAGCCUGAGAAACGGCUACCACAUCUACGGAUGGCAGCAGGCGCGCAAAUUACCCAAUGCAGACACUGUGAGGUAGUGACGAGAAAUAAUAAAGCGGGACUUCUGUUUCGCUAUUAUAAUGAGGAAUAACCAAAGGUCAUUCCGAUUAGCAACUGAUGGGAAAGUCUGGUGCCAGCAGCCGCGGUAAUACCAGCGUCAGUAGCAUAUAU